RNAcentral lists this ribosomal RNA (253 nucleotides) under uncultured bacterium. RNAcentral describes it as "partial 16S ribosomal RNA". It matches the Rfam family "Archaeal small subunit ribosomal RNA", at positions 474 to 727 of the family's 1478-position model. The record is from RNAcentral.
UACCAGCACCCCGAGUGGUCGGGACGAUUAUUGGGCCUAAAGCAUCCGUAGCCGGUCAUGCAAGUCCUCCGUUAAAUCCAGCCGCUCAACGGUUGGGCUGCGGAGGAUACUACGUGGCUAGGAGGCGGGAGAGGCAAGCGGUACUCAGUGGGUAGGGGUAAAAUCCUUUGAUCCAUUGAAGAACACCAGCGGCGAAGGCAGCUCGCUGGGACGGUACUGACGCUGAGGCGCGAAAGCGUGGGGAGCGAACAGG